This 465-nucleotide ribosomal RNA is filed under the name Vreelandella stevensii. RNAcentral describes it as "partial 16S ribosomal RNA". It matches the Rfam family "Bacterial small subunit ribosomal RNA", at positions 338 to 795 of the family's 1533-position model. Lineage: Bacteria; Pseudomonadati; Pseudomonadota; Gammaproteobacteria; Oceanospirillales; Halomonadaceae. The record is from RNAcentral.
CCUACGGGAGGCAGCAGUGGGGAAUAUUGGACAAUGGGGGCAACCCUGAUCCAGCCAUGCCGCGUGUGUGAAGAAGGCCCUCGGGUUGUAAAGCACUUUCAGUGAGGAAGAACGCCUGGUGGUUAAUACCCAUCAGGAAAGACAUCACUCACAGAAGAAGCACCGGCUAACUCCGUGCCAGCAGCCGCGGUAAUACGGAGGGUGCGAGCGUUAAUCGGAAUUACUGGGCGUAAAGCGCGCGUAGGUGGCUUGAUAAGCCGGUUGUGAAAGCCCCGGGCUCAACCUGGGAACGGCAUCCGGAACUGUCAAGCUAGAGUGCAGGAGAGGAAGGUGGAAUUCCCGGUGUAGCGGUGAAAUGCGUAGAGAUCGGGAGGAAUACCAGUGGCGAAGGCGGCCUUCUGGACUGACACUGACGCUGAGGUGCGAAAGCGUGGGUAGCAAACAGGAUUAGAUACCCUUGUAGUC